UCGAGAGUUUGAUCCUGGCUCAGGAUGAACGCUAGCGGCAGGCUUAACACAUGCAAGUCGAGGGGUAGAAGCAGCUUGCUGCUUUGAGACCGGCGCACGGGUGCGUAACGCGUAUACAAUCUACCUUUUACAGAGGGAUAGCCCAGAGAAAUUUGGAUUAAUACCUCAUAGUAUUUUCGAAUGGCAUCAUUUGAUUAUUAAAGUUCCAACGGUAAAAGAUGAGUAUGCGUCCCAUUAGCUAGAUGGUAAGGUAACGGCUUACCAUGGCAACGAUGGGUAGGGGAACUGAGAGGUCAAUCCCCCACACUGGCACUGAGAUACGGGCCAGACUCCUACGGGAGCAGCAGUAGGGAAUAUUGGGCAAUGGACGCAAGUCUGACCCCAGCCCAUGCCGCGUGCAGGAUGAAGGCGUUAUGCGUUGUAAACUGCUUUUAGACAGGAAGAAACGUACUCUUGCGAGAGGUCAUUGACGGUACUGUAUGAA
This 484-nucleotide ribosomal RNA is filed under the name uncultured Flavobacteriaceae bacterium. RNAcentral's name for it is "bacterial SSU rRNA". It matches the Rfam family "Bacterial small subunit ribosomal RNA", at positions 1 to 486 of the family's 1533-position model. The record is from RNAcentral. Lineage: Bacteria; Pseudomonadati; Bacteroidota; Flavobacteriia; Flavobacteriales; Flavobacteriaceae.